Molecule: ribosomal RNA, 1363 nt
Filed under: uncultured bacterium
Lineage: Bacteria
Description: partial 16S ribosomal RNA
Rfam family: Bacterial small subunit ribosomal RNA
Source: RNAcentral
AGAGUUUGCUCUUGGCUCAGGAUGAACGCUGGCGGCAUGCCUAAUACAUGCAAGUCGAACGAGAGACCUUCGGGUCUCUAGUGGCGAACGGGUGAGUAACGCGUAGGGAACCUGCCCGUGCACCGGGAAUACGCUCUGGAAACGGAGAACAAAUCCCGAUGUACAGGAAGGAGGCAUCUUCUUUCUGUGAAACAUCCUUUAGGGGAUGGGGCGCGGAUGGACCUGCGGUGCAUUAGUUGGUUGGCGGGGUAAAGGCCCACCAAGACGAUGAUGCAUAGCCGGCCUGAGAGGGCGGACGGCCACAUUGGGACUGAGACACGGCCCAGACUCCUGCGGGAGGCAGCAGUAGGGAAUUUUCGUCAAUGGGCGCAAGCCUGAACGAGCGAUGCCGCGUGAGUGAAGAAGGCCUUCGGGUCGUAAAGCUCUGUUGCGGGGGAAAAAAGGCAGCAUCAGGAAAUGGGUGCUGACUGAUGGUGCCCCGCCAGAAAGUCACGGCUAACUACGUGCCAGCAGCCGCGGUAAUACGUAGGUGGCGAGCGUUAUCUGGAAUGAUUGGGCGUAAAGGGUGCGCAGGCGGUCCUGCAAGUCUGGAGUGAAACGCAUGAGCUCAACUCAUGCAUGGCUUUGGAAACCGGAGGACUGGAGAGCAGGAGAGGGCGGUGGAACUCCAUGUGUAGCGGUAAAAUGCGUAGAUAUAUGGAGGAACACCAGUGGCGAAGGCGGUCUGCUGGACAGCAACUGACGCUGAGGCGCGAAAGCGUGGGGAGCAAACAGGAUUAGAUACCCUGGUAGUCCACGCUGUAAACGAUGGAUACUAGGUGUGGGGGGACUGACCCCCUCCGUGCCGCAGUUAACACAAUAAGUAUCCCACCUGGGGAGUACGAUCGCAAGGUUGAAACUCAAAGGAAUUGACGGGGGCCCGCACAAGCGGUGGAGUAUGUGGUUUAAUUCGAAGCAACGCGAAGAACCUUACCAGGGCUUGACAUCCCGGUGACCGCGCUAGAGAUAGCGUUUUCCCUUCGGGGACACUGGUGACAGGUGGUGCAUGGUUGUCGUCAGCUCGUGUCGUGAGAUGUUGGGUUAAGUCCCGCAACGAGCGCAACCCUUAUUGUUAGUUGCUACGCAAGAGCACUCUAGCGAGACUGCCGUUGUCAAAACGGAGGAAGGUGGGGACGACGUCAAAUCAUCAUGCCCCUUAUGUCCUGGGCCACACACGUACUACAAUGGUGGUCAACAGAGGGAAGCAAUACCGCGAGGUGGAGCAAAUCCCUAAAAGCCAUCCCAGUUCGGAUCGCAGGCUGCAACCCGCCUGCGUGAAGUUGGAAUCGCUAGUAAUCGCGGAUCAGCAUGCCGCGGUGAAUAC